Molecule: transfer RNA, 73 nt
Filed under: Neotoma lepida (desert woodrat)
Lineage: Eukaryota; Metazoa; Chordata; Mammalia; Rodentia; Cricetidae
Rfam family: tRNA
About the family: Transfer RNA (tRNA) molecules are approximately 80 nucleotides in length. Their secondary structure includes four short double-helical elements and three loops (D, anti-codon, and T loops).
Source: Rfam by way of RNAcentral
GGAGAGAUGGCUCAGUGGUUAAGAGCAUUGGCUGCUCUUCCAGAGGACCUGGGUUUGAUUCUCAGCUUCUGCA